GUUAAACAUAUAUUUGGUAAUAAUGUUGGAUUUAAUUUUAUUCUCUGUUCUGAAAGUGGAGGAUUAAAACUCCCUCUUGUGAUGAAGCUGCUGUGAUACAGUCAAACAGAACAGCAAGAAGAUUGUUUUCUCAACUGCUGGUUCCAAGAAACAGCCGAAACAGUGACGUCACAGAGAUGCAGAUCUCUGCAGGGGAACCCGCCCGCGUCCUGACCAUCAGAACCAAGUCACAAUUCGCCAACCAGCUGCUGGACAUCGUGCUGGAUCGAGUCAUCCUGCAGGUGGAAUCCGAACCACAAACGGGGGAGGAGCCGCAGGUGGAAAGUGAAAUGGAUCCUGGGGAGCAUCUUCGAGGAGAAAGAGGUUCAGGUCCCAUGAAAGCUGUGAACAAUCUUGCGUCAAAACUGCAGAAAUGGAUGACUGCAGGGGAUAAAAACACUGCUCGGACGGAUGCACCCGAGCACGCCGCUCUCCCCUCGGAUGGCGCCUCCUGCAGUGCGUCGAGGGAAGAGGAGAAACAACAGGAGUCCCAACUUUAAUAAAGGCAGUGACUGCAGGAUAAAGGG
Gasterosteus aculeatus aculeatus (three-spined stickleback) is the source of this 566-nucleotide long non-coding RNA. Lineage: Eukaryota; Metazoa; Chordata; Actinopteri; Perciformes; Gasterosteidae. The record is from Ensembl.